This 301-nucleotide ribosomal RNA is filed under the name uncultured bacterium. Its description in RNAcentral is "partial 16S ribosomal RNA". It matches the Rfam family "Bacterial small subunit ribosomal RNA", at positions 509 to 807 of the family's 1533-position model. The record is from RNAcentral.
CAGCCGCCGCGGUAAUGCGAAGGGUGCAAGCGUUAAUCGGAAUUACUGGGCGUAAAGCGUGCGUAGGCGGUGAGUUAAGUCUGCUGUGAAAUCCCCGGACUCAACCUGGGAAUGGCAGUGGAUACUGGCUCGCUAGAGUGUGUCAGAGGAUGGUGGAAUUCCCGGUGUAGCGGUGAAAUGCGUAGAGAUCGGGAGGAACAUCAGUGGCGAAGGCGGCCAUCUGGGACAACACUGACGCUGAGGCACGAAAGCGUGGGGAGCAAACAGGAUUAGAUACCCCCGUAGUCCCUGUCUCUUAUAC